GAUGAACGCUGGCGGCGUGCUUAACACAUGCAAGUCGAACGAAGAUGCCGGAGUGCUUGCACUUUGGCAGACUGAGUGGCGGACGGGUGAGUAACGCGUGGGUAACCUGCCUUAUACAGGGGGAUAACAGUUGGAAACGACUGCUAAUACCGCAUAAGCGCACGGUAUCGCAUGAUACAGUGUGAAAAACUCCGGUGGUAUAAGAUGGACCCGCGUCUGAUUAGCUAGUUGGUGAGGUAACGGCCCACCAAGGCGACGAUCAGUAGCCGGCCUGAGAGGGUGAACGGCCACAUUGGGACUGAGACACGGCCCAAACUCCUACGGGAGGCAGCAGUGGGGAAUAUUGCACAAUGGGGGAAACCCUGAUGCAGCGACGCCGCGUGAGUGAUGAAGUAUUUCGGUAUGUAAAACUCUAUCAGCAGGGAAGAUAAUGACGGUACCUGACUAAGAAGCACCGGCUAAAUACGUG
RNAcentral lists this ribosomal RNA (469 nucleotides) under uncultured bacterium. RNAcentral's name for it is "bacterial SSU rRNA". It matches the Rfam family "Bacterial small subunit ribosomal RNA", at positions 28 to 507 of the family's 1533-position model. The record is from RNAcentral.